CUUUGCUAGCGUGUGAGAUGAGUGGAAUUGUGCGGUAGUUUGAACAUUCUUUGGCACUGCCUUUCUUUGGGAUUGGGAUGAAAACUGACCUUUUCCAGUCCUGUGGCCACUGCUGAGUUUUCCAGAUUUGCUGGCAUAUCGAGUGUAGCACUUUCACAGCAUCAUCUUUUAGGAUUUGAAAUAGCUCAGCUGGAAUUCCAUCACCUCCACUAGCUUUGUUCAUAGUGAUGCUUCCUAAGGCCCACUUGGCUUCGCACUCCAGAAUGUCUGGCUCUAGGUGAGGGGAUAUGUGUCUACACAUGGCUGAUUCGCGAUGUUGUUCAGAAGAAACUAACACGAGGUUGUAAAGCGAUUGUCUCGCAAUAAACAGACGUGAGUGCGGAGCGCGUCCCACCACCCCGUCUCCAGAGGAGCAGCCCUCUCCAGUCACCGAGAGCGGGUCCCACCAUGCAGCGCUAGGCUGGCUGGCGGCCCCGGCCUCUGUGCAGGGUGGUGGGGUGGCCCUCGCUGAGUCCUUGGACAGCUGUGGGUCCAGGUCCUGAUGUGAAGUGGGGACGAUGAUCACACGCUUUGGAGGACCUGCUGGGGAGGGGGAGCGCUCAGAACAGAGCUGGCUUUAGCGCCACCAGGGAGUGCCGGUGCAAGGACCAUCGGGGUGUGUGUCCAGUGCCUGCAGGCGUGAGAAUACCCCCUGUGCGUGCGUGCGCGUGUCUGUGGACACUCGUGCUCUUGCCCUGCGGGUGCAGUUGGAGUGCCAGCAUGCGGGCAUUAGGUCGGGGGGACCACAGCCUCUCCGGUCCUCAGCUGUCCCUCUGUCCCCUUCCCUUCCUGGCCCCCGAGGAGGCUGAGAAGCAGAUUCUCCCUUCUGAGGGUUGGUUAAAGCUCAAAACCAGAGGCCUCCGUGGACCCCCACCUGUUUUUCCAAGCCCACCGUCCCUCCACCUCAUCUUCCGCCGUCCCAUCGUCCGCCAGCUCGUCAUUCAGCGUGGAUUUCCUGAGCCACCCCCAGGCACCAGCACCGUGGCUCAGGCGACGUGCAGACAACAAAGAAAGAACCACCCCAUCCGUCCACCCACCCAUUGUGCGUCCGCCUGCCCACCCACCCCUGCCCGCCCGUCCGUCUGUCCCUCCGUCCGUGCUUCCACGCCUCUCUGCAGUCACACACUCACUCCCUGUCAAGUCCUCCCGGGCGCCUGGACUCAGCCGUGGGUGAGUCAGUCUCAGCCCUCAGGGGCCACAGAUGGGGGAGGGUUGGGCAGCUCUCCCCCAGGCUCUGGCCGCUGUGGGGGUCGGGAGGAGGAGGCAGCUGGGGGAAGCCCUGCACCGUGUGGUGUGUGAGGUCCUUGUAUGGUGUCUCCCCUGGCCUGUGUGUCUCACAGAGACACUCUCCACCCACUGCGGGCAGGGCCUCCCCCAUGCCACGGCCAAGCCAGGCUGGGAACUCAGUAGGCGCCCCUUGGAUAGCGAGCGCCAGGCUGGCUGAGUCACCCUCCCUCGUCCUCCUCCAGCCAGCCCUGCUUUGCCGUUGGCUCCUCCACCCCAGCCUCCCUGGCCCGACUCGCUCGUCUGCCCUCUCUAAGUCCACUCUCAGCUCAGGCCCUGCAUGGGCUCUGGUUCUGCAGGGGGAGAUCAGGGUAGCUUUGGAGGGCCAGCCGGGUCGGCCAAAGAGCUGGCUCAGCAGCUCUGGCGAGGUGGACGAGGACCCUGACCAGGAAAUGGACACACAGCCUCAAAGGACCAAGGACAGGCCACCUCCCAGGUCUCCUGCCCCCUUCUCCCAGGGGCCGGGGACGCUCGCCUGGCUCUCUAGUGAGGAAAGGCCUGAUGGCUCCUCAGACGCCCCAGCACAGACACCGUCUGGGCUCCUGGGGUGCACAGUAGCCUGGGGCCCCCAAAGGGUCAGCUGAGGCUGGCGGGCAGUGGGUGGCAUGCAGGUGACCUGGGAGGAUGGGAAGGUCUCAAGUCGUGCUAAUCAGAAUCGGGGUGUGUCAGGCCCCAGCCCUCACUCCCCAGGCCAGCUGGGGGCAGACCCAGGUCCUGGGGAUCCCAUGAAGCUCAGAGGUCCCCGACUUCACACCAGCAGGUCACCCAGGAAACCAAAGGAUCAGGGUGAGUGUCUGAGGGAACACCUUUUAGGAGUGAUUUUAUCAAAGAGGGCCCCAGGCUGUGACCCCGCAUCCUUGCAACAGAUGCGCUGGCAGUCUGGAACAGAUUCAGGUCAGUUUCGUAAGCCACUGGGGCAAAUUCCCAGCAAAGAUAAAGCAAGGUGGCCCUGCCAGCUGGAAGCUGACCCCGAACCCCAAGCCUGACUUUUCUGCCCAGUGCGAUCCCAGCUGCC
RNAcentral lists this long non-coding RNA (2338 nucleotides) under Bos mutus (wild yak). RNAcentral describes it as "lncRNA (ENSBMUG00000024269.1)". Lineage: Eukaryota; Metazoa; Chordata; Mammalia; Artiodactyla; Bovidae. The record is from RNAcentral.